CACGUAUCCAACCUUCCGGUAACUCCGGUAUAGCCUUUCGAAAGAAAGAUUAAUCCCGGAUAGUAUGGUGAUUCCGCAUGGUUUCUCCAUUAAAGGAUUCCGGUUACCGAUGGGGAUGCGUUCCAUUAGGCAGUUGGCGGGGUAACGGCCCACCAAACCUACGAUGGAUAGGGGUUCUGAGAGGAAGGUCCCCCACAUUGGAACUGAGACACGGUCCAAACUCCUACGGGAGGCAGCAGUGAGGAAUAUUGGUCAAUGGGCGGAAGCCUGAACCAGCCAAGUAGCGUGAAGGAUGACUGCCCUAUGGGUUGUAAACUUCUUUUAUAAGGGAAUAAUUGUGGGUACGUGUACCCAUUUGCAUGUACCUUAUGAAUAAGGAUCGGCUAACUCCGUGCCAGCAGCCGCGGUAAUACGGAGGAUCCGAGCGUUAUCCGGAUUUAUUGGGUUUAAAGGGAGCGUAGGCGGGCGCUUAAGUCAGCUGUGAAAGUUUGGGGCUCAACCUUAAAAUUGCAGUUGAUACUGGGUGCCUUGAGUGCAGUAUAGGCAGGCGGAAUUCGUGGUGUAGCGGUGAAAUGCUUAAAUAUCACGAAGAACUCCUAUUGCGAAGGCAGCUUGCUGGAGUGUAACUGACGCUGAUG
RNAcentral lists this ribosomal RNA (638 nucleotides) under uncultured Prevotella sp. RNAcentral describes it as "bacterial SSU rRNA". It matches the Rfam family "Bacterial small subunit ribosomal RNA", at positions 114 to 751 of the family's 1533-position model. The record is from RNAcentral. Lineage: Bacteria; Pseudomonadati; Bacteroidota; Bacteroidia; Bacteroidales; Prevotellaceae.